GGCGGACGGGUGAGUAAUGCUUGGGAACUUGCCUUUGCGAGGGGGAUAACAGUUGGAAACGACUGCUAAUACCGCAUAAUGUCUUCGGACCAAACGGGGCUUCGGCUCCGGCGCAAAGAGAGGCCCAAGUGAGAUUAGCUAGUUGGUAAGGUAACGGCUUACCAAGGCGACGAUCUCUAGCUGUUCUGAGAGGAAGAUCAGCCACACUGGGACUGAGACACGGCCCAGACUCCUACGGGAGGCAGCAGUGGGGAAUAUUGCACAAUGGGGGGAACCCUGAUGCAGCCAUGCCGCGUGUGUGAAGAAGGCCUUCGGGUUGUAAAGCACUUUCAGUUGUGAGGAAAAGUUAGUAGUUAAUACCUGCUAGCCGUGACGUUAACAACAGAAGAAGCACCGGCUAACUCCGUGCCAGCAGCCGCGGUAAUACGGAGGGUGCGAGCGUUAAUCGGAAUUACUGGGCGUAAAGCGCACGCAGGCGGUUUGUUAAGCUAGAUGUGAAAGCCCCGGGCUCAACCUGGGAUGGUCAUUUAGAACUGGCAGACUAGAGUCUUGGAGAGGGGAGUGGAAUUCCAGGUGUAGCGGUGAAAUGCGUAGAUAUCUGGAGGAACAUCAGUGGCGAAGGCGACUCCCUGGCCAAAGACUGACGCUCAUGUGCGAAAGUGUGGGUAGCGAACAGGAUUAGAUACCCUGGUAGUCCACACCGUAAACGCUGUCUACUAGCUGUUUGUGUAUUUAAUACGUGAGUAGCGAAGCUAACGCGCUAAGUAGACCGC
This 773-nucleotide ribosomal RNA is filed under the name uncultured Alteromonas sp. RNAcentral describes it as "bacterial SSU rRNA". It matches the Rfam family "Bacterial small subunit ribosomal RNA", at positions 97 to 872 of the family's 1533-position model. Lineage: Bacteria; Pseudomonadati; Pseudomonadota; Gammaproteobacteria; Alteromonadales; Alteromonadaceae. The record is from RNAcentral.